CCCAACAAUUUUUUUUAAGAUCCGCCACUGUCCUAAAGUGUCUAUUAAACUAGUUGUGGACGACAUGUAAGUUAGACUUGAUCAUGACGGGGAGCUAUUUUAGACUGUUCUAGAAAAUUUGGUAUAAGUAUCUCUGGGGAACCUUUAUGAUUAUAUCGUGUAGCUCAUCAUUUUAAUUUUUGUUUUUUUUAUCAACGCUCAUUUCCUGUAAUUUUCUCCUUAAUAACAGAUUUGGGGGUUGAGAAAAUUAAAACUGGAAGGCACAGAGCCACAUAUAUAUUUAAGGUACUUGAAGUUGAAGAUCUUGUAAAAGCCGAGGAGUCUUUUAAAGCUAGAUGUUUACGCUCAAUGAUGAAAGAAAAGAGAGUUUGAAAGUUCUGUUAUGUGGUGAGAAUAGAAUGAAGAGAGUUAAUCGUCCAUAUUUUUUCAGCUUCACAUGAUGAAGUUUGCUUCACUUAGGGAUUGUGCUUCAUCAAAGGAAGUUUAGCAAUAAAUAUGUAGUGUUAAUUGUAUCGCCCUCUUUGAAUUAUUUAAUUAUUUAAUUGAGUCUAGAAGUUAUUAAGAUGAG
Molecule: long non-coding RNA, 568 nt
Filed under: Medicago truncatula (barrel medic)
Lineage: Eukaryota; Viridiplantae; Streptophyta; Magnoliopsida; Fabales; Fabaceae
Description: long non-coding RNA (MTRU_LNC006273)
Source: RNAcentral